RNAcentral lists this ribosomal RNA (253 nucleotides) under uncultured bacterium. RNAcentral describes it as "partial 16S ribosomal RNA". It matches the Rfam family "Bacterial small subunit ribosomal RNA", at positions 524 to 776 of the family's 1533-position model. The record is from RNAcentral.
UACGUAGGGGGCAAGCGUUGUCCGGAAUUAUUGGGCGUAAAGCGCACGUAGGCGGACUCUUAAGUCGGUGGUGAAAUCCUGGAGCUCAACUCCAGAACUGCCUUCGAUACUGGCGAUCUUGAGUCCGGAAGAGGUGAGUGGAACUCCUAGUGUAGAGGUGGAAUUCGUAGAUAUUAGGAAGAACACCAGUGGCGAAGGCGGCUCACUGGUCCGGUACUGACGCUGAGGUGCGAAAGCGUGGGGAGCAAACAGG